GGCGCCGUAGCUCAGAGGCAGAGCGUUGCAUUAGUAAUUCAAAGGCCACGUGUUCGAAUCCCGUCGGCGCCU
RNAcentral lists this transfer RNA (72 nucleotides) under Chroomonas mesostigmatica CCMP1168. RNAcentral describes it as "tRNA-Thr". It matches the Rfam family "tRNA". Rfam says of the family: Transfer RNA (tRNA) molecules are approximately 80 nucleotides in length. Their secondary structure includes four short double-helical elements and three loops (D, anti-codon, and T loops). Lineage: Eukaryota; Cryptophyceae; Pyrenomonadales; Chroomonadaceae. The record is from RNAcentral.